RNAcentral lists this transfer RNA (88 nucleotides) under Burkholderia glumae. RNAcentral describes it as "tRNA-Gly". Lineage: Bacteria; Pseudomonadati; Pseudomonadota; Betaproteobacteria; Burkholderiales; Burkholderiaceae. The record is from RNAcentral.
CGCUCACGCUGUUCGCGGUCGAGAUGAUCGCGCUGCUGCCGGUGGCGCUCGUCACGCUCGCGGCGCUCGGCACGCCGGUGGGCGGCCA